RNAcentral lists this ribosomal RNA (254 nucleotides) under uncultured bacterium. Its description in RNAcentral is "partial 16S ribosomal RNA". It matches the Rfam family "Bacterial small subunit ribosomal RNA", at positions 524 to 776 of the family's 1533-position model. The record is from RNAcentral.
UACGUAGGGUGCGAGCGUUUAAUCGGAAUUACUGGGCGUAAAGUGUGCGCAGGCGGCCGAGCAAGUCGAGUGUGAAAGCCCCGAGCUUAACUUGGGAACUGCGCUCGAAACUACUUGGCUAGAGUGUGGCAGAGGGAGGUGGAAUUCCACGUGUAGCGGUGAAAUGCGUAGAGAUGUGGAGGAACACCGGUGGCGAAGGCGGGUCUCUGGGCAGUAACUGACGCUGAGGAGCGAAAGCGUGGGGAGCGAACAGG